ACACACAAAUGAUCACUUACAACUGAGGCGGGCCUCUCCAUUGGCUGUCAUUGUUGAAAGUUGAUUAUCUGCCUAUUCCCUUUUUUAAUUUUGUUCCCAUAAAAAGUUACCUUCACAUGAUUCGCGUGAUGUCAAUAAAUAUUGUAACUGUAAUAUUGCUGUGAGAAAACCCCUGAUUAAACAAGAGUUUGAAUUAUGCACACUGAAGAUAAAAGUGAUAUGAAUAUUACUUUGACAUCAUAAAAAAAAACAAGGACACAAAUAAGUUUUGUUCUUUGGUACAUGCUCUGGCAGCAGGACCCUGAGUUAUUUGAGAAGCUUCAUUUAGAAUUUAACCGCUUGUUUGUUAAGAAACAGGAAGCUACACUUUUUAAAGAAGAAGGUUAGCUUUUAUCUUGUUCUUUGCUUGGUGGUGACAUGAGCAGGUUUCACACACUCCUGAGUGCUGAACGGGUCUGACAUCUGAAAACGACAAUGAAGUUACACCUGAGGAUCAUCAUCUUUUUAUUAGUGAUCGUCUCAUCUGCUGAUGUUAAGUUGAAGAGUCACCAGUCAGGCAUUAAGGGAGGAUCCAUCACUUUUCCUGAUCCUUUGGAGAAUGGACUUUUUAUAUUUCAAGGAAGUAGCAUUGCUGAAGUGAAGGACAAAAAAAUAGAUAUAUUGGAGGAAACUUACAAGGACAGACUUUUAUGGAACAACAAAACUGGUCUUUUCACAAUCAGAGGACUAAAGCGGAAUGACUCUGGUGUUUAUGGUAUUGACCCUAAAAAAGGAUUUAGUUCCAUAACAAGUCAUAAACUCAGUGUAUAUGAGUCUGUAGCAGCUCCUGCAGUGGAAGCUGUGAACGUGAGCGCAGAGAGCUGCUCCUUUCUGUGUUUGGUGAAUAAGACUGAAGAGACGACUCUGCUGUGGUACAAAGACGAGGAAAUAAUCAACCAGAGCAGCUCUGCUCUCUCACUGUACACAGACAUGAUGACACAUCAUCUUAUAGAUGUGUGGCAGCCAACCCUGCUGAAAAUAAGACUCUUCAUGUCGAUGUUAGGAACAUCUGUGUGGAACUUAACUCAGGCAGCAAGAGUGAACCCAACACUGGACACUGUGGCAGUAACACACAGUCCUGGUUGUUCCUGACUCCUGUGUUGGUGUUUUGGGUUGCUUUUGCUGUUUGCAUCCUUUUGACAAACAUGAAGAGAAAGCGAAAGAGAGAGACUGACGGCUGAUCUACAAUCAUAUGCAAACAGUCGUGAAAUGUGAGGAAGCUCCAGACUGAGGAUCUGGGCAGGGCUGUUCUGGAGUUUCUGUACACUCUUGCCAGGGAUCCCGAUGAGAAGUGCAUCACAGUAGUCCAGCCUGGAGGAGACAAAGGAGUAGUCAGCGUCUUGGGGGAUGAGUGAGGUUGGUGAUGAGUGGUGAAAGAUGGAUGUCUUGACCAGAGAAGGAAAGCAGUUAUGAGAGAUGACUGAACUUGGUGAGGUGUGCCGACUAGGAUGGCUUCAGUUUUUGAACUGUUUAAUUGGAGGAAGUUUUGACUCAUCCACGACUUUAUGACAUUUUCUAUACUGGAAGAUCUGCUUUUGGCAUCUUUACACCAUCAGCUUGGAAUUUGCUACAAGGCACUUUAAAAAUCAAGGCACUGGUCUCUUAUGGCCAUUUUAGAUCUUUAAUUAUUAACUCCUUUACU
Molecule: non-coding RNA, 1681 nt
Organism: Labrus bergylta (ballan wrasse)
Lineage: Eukaryota; Metazoa; Chordata; Actinopteri; Labriformes; Labridae
Source: RefSeq, a predicted model, not a curated record